CCGAGAACCGAGCAGAUCAGCAGAGGACAUCUUCCGGCGGCGGCCGGCUGGUAGAAGCUCCGAAGGACGCAGCAGGAGGCAGCCCGGGGACCCCCUGCAGCCGCAACCGGGAGGGGGGGGGGGGGGGGGGGCGCCGCCCAGGUUGGCCGAUGGGUAGCUCCUCCAGUGUGGCUAGGUAUUAGUUUUAUUUCUGUUUCCAAUAGCCUCUUCUCCAUCUGAGCGCUUAUUCCACUUUGCGACUACGGUUUUAGUAGUCUUCCUUUUAAUCCAUUGCUAUGCUUAGCCAUUUUCUUAUGAAAGUUGGCUAAAUAGCUGGCCCUUAAUCUAUUCUUUUUUAAGAUAAUAAAGGAGCAUAAUCCUUUUUCUUUUUAUUGAUAUUUCUUUGGCUUAAUGGGUAAUUAUUUGUUAUCAUUGGGGGCAUUGCUUCUUCCAAUCUAGAGGGUUGAAUUUGCACCAAAGGAAACCAUAAAUUUCAUAUACAAUAGAAAUCAUUGUCAAGCAAGGAAAUGCAAUGUGGUUGGGUGUUUGGAUCUGUGGCAACGGCAACUCUGUGAUGGCAAGAAUUUUCCUUGCUAUAUGAGGCUAGCCAAUUUGGCUCUCCCACCCUGGCAAGGUAAUGCUAGCCUGGCGAGGCGAGGCAAGCUAAGGAACUAAACUGGGCCUUAUUAUCUUGGAAAUAUUUGGGGGAAAGACAAUGGUAUGGUAAGGUUAGCAAGAUUGAUGAAAAUUGACUUGUGGAGAUAAAAUUUUAUAAUGUGAAUGCUACAUUAUAGUUUUCCUGUGGGAAACUCAAGUGGCAUGGACAUUGAGCAGGUUCUCUUUAGGGAUUGGGAUGAGAUGUUUCAUACUUACAGCAAAUGAACAACUACUACAAUAUACUGUAUAUAGACAAACAAUAUUCUCACAACAAAUGCACAGCUAUAAUAUACUGUGGUAACAAACAAUAUUUUGGCACCUCAUUGUCAGCACUACAUGAACAAACUAUAUAAAACAAAAUUCCUGUAUAUAUGAGCAUUGAGAUUUGGAGGAAACAUAACAGACAAGAAUAAGUACAUAUCUUAGCUGGUAAAUAUCAGUAAUACCAUGACUAGCAGUAACUAAUGACUGAUCAACCAAUUACUUUUUCUCACACGCGUAUUUCUUUGACAUGGUGCAGCUUCAUCCUCCAAUUGUCUCUUUCCCACUCUACCUUGAAUUCAGGGGGCUGCAUCGAGACAUUAAGCUUUCUGAGGGAUGAAACAAGCUCCAAACCUUUAGGAACUUCCUUGAGAGACGUUAGAGACAAGAGAAGCAGCACUUCAAGCCUGACAAGCGCACCUUCCUCAAUAAAUAGCCUCUUUACUCGAUCCAGGUUCUCCAUGUAAAGGGUUUUUAGCUGAGGAAACCAUCCCGCAUGUAGUAUUAUAUCCUCAGCCCAGCAUUCCUUGCGGAUGCUCAAGAAUAUCAGAUUUGGCAUGCUCAAGGAGAUUGAGGACAGUGGAUCGGCAUUAUUUUUGCAGAAGCUUAGUGUCAGAUAUUUGAUGUUGAUACCAUACUCACAGAACACGGGUCCCCUGAAGGCCUCAUUGUCCCAGCAUCCUCUGAUAAUGAGUUUUUCUAAUUGUGUAUGUCUAGGAUUGAAAGCAUCAAAAUUCAGAGGUUCAUCUAGAUUGUUGGCGCUGAUGAGCAAGUUAUACAGGUGGUGCAUGUUUGAGAUAGAUGCAAACAGUGUUGCACAGUCAGCACGCCGCACAUUCUCAACACAUAGAAGCCUCAACUCAGGUAGUUGUUUCAAUAGCUCCACUGAUUUCUUGGUUGCUUCAACAGUCUUGAGAGUUUGCAGCUCUACCAAAUCAAAAAUUCCGUCUGGAAACUUCACACCUUGAAAGUAGCGUAAAUGCUGCUGUUUUGUAUCAGCCAAUUUCUCAGCAAAUAUGUGCCUCAGUUUCUUGAGCCUGGAUACUUCUCUUGGCAGAGUUUCAAUGCCAGUUGACUUCAGGUCCAGAGUUUCCAAAUUCGAAAGCCUUUUAAUUGAUCUUGGAAGGGACUUAACACGCGUUCUCCUCAGGCAAAGGUAGCGCAAGUUGAACAAAUCCCCAAUAUUAUCUGGGAUCUUGUCAAUGUGUGAGUCUCGCAUCUCCAGAACAGAAAGGUAUUUAUACUUGGAAAUCAGUAAGCACAGCAACUGGUCAUUUGCUACUGCACUGGUUGCGAUGAAUGUUCGAAGGUGUGGAAGAUCCAUUCUUGAUCUAAUCAGCUGAUUCACCUGAUUUGAGUUUGACAAUAAUAAUCGACGAACAUCGUCCUUGUUCUCAUGUACCAGAUUGGUUAUUUCUGCCAGACCAAAUCUUUCCUUCCUAGAAAAUGAGAGAGCCAAUUCUCGCACAAUGCCAUGCAUCCUGCAGGUUACUACUCUGCCAAUCUCAUCGUUCUCCACAAGUUGCAGCAUGCUUUGAUGGAUCAACUCAGUGAAGUAGCCAUCUGCAACCUCCUCCAAUGUACUUUGCCCUCUGUGUGAAACAAAACCCUCGACUAUCCAUAGCUUGACAAGCUGCUCACGUGUGAAAAGAUAAUCUUGUGGGAACAUGCUGCAAUACAAAAAACAGUUCUUGAGGUGUCUUGGCAGGUACGUGAAGCUUAUGCUUAGUGCACUUCUUACUUUGCCUAGGCUAGGGUUGUCCUCCAACUCACAUUUAAACUGAUUAUCCAUUCUUCUCCAUGUUAUCUCGUCUGGUUCUUGUACAGUUAGUACAUUUCCUAUUGCAUUAAUUGCAAGUGGCAAGCCUCCACACUUGCUCACAAUCUGCCUAGAUAAUUCAUUGAGAUGAGAAGGGCACUCCAUGUUGCUAUUCUGAAAAGUCCUUCUACAAAAUAGUUCAAAUGCAUCAUCACUGCUGAGUGGCUUAAGCUUCAUCUUGUACAUUUCUUGAGCCAGUGAAGCAACAUCAUUAUUCCUAGUUGUGAUAAUUAUCCGACUGCCUUUGUGGUCAUCCAUUAAUAGGUCAGACAACUCGUUAAAAGCUCUUGUAUCCCAAACAUCAUCGAGUACAAUCAAGUACCUCUUAUUUGACAACACUCCCCUUAAUGUAUCAUUGAGCUUGUUAUAGUGCAUAGUGCCAAGGUCGGCAGGAAUUUUGCCUUGGUCCUCAUUUAACUCCUGAAUCAACUGCCUCAAUGUAACAAUAAUGCCAUAGUUAUGUGAUAUUGCAAUCCAUGCAUAACAAUCAAAACUUUUUCGUUCCAUCUCCAAAUCAUAUACCUUCCUGACAAGGGUAGUUUUGCCUAGUCCACCAAAACCCCACACUGAUAUUACUACAAGAUUGGUUUCCUUGGGAUCUAGCCAUUCGCGCAGCAGUUCCAUGUCUUCCUUCAUGCCAACAAUGCCCUCUACUUUAAUGGCAUGAGGGUUCUCACUAUUUGUUGGGGAUUGAACUUGAGUGUUGUUACUUGUGUUAUCAAGUAACUCAUUGAACAUUUCUCUGUAGUCUCUUUUGAGCUGUGACAGGUGUUUGAUCUCUUCCUCAAUGUCUUUCAUUCCUGAAGCAAUGCCGUGAAAAAUAUUUGCAUAGUAGGUUGUGUGUACCACCCUCUUGAAAUAGCCUUCUUCCUGUAAGAGAGUGAUGUUAUAACAGUAGUCAUCUAUUAUGUCCUCAACACAAUAUGCAACCUUCCGCACCCUCACUAUCCAGCCUUCAAGAACUUUAUUGCUGUAGAUUUUUGACCCAACUUGGCUUAAGAAAUGAUGAAUCAUGUCCAAUUCCCUCUCGAUGCGUUUUGCAGUCCGUGUUAAAUCUGGCGAUGGUGUGGCUUCUUUCUUUACGAGAGACUGCAGUGAUGCCAUUCCAAAAGAGGUAACAAGUUUGCUAAGAGCUAGGACUACUGCUGCCUCUGCCAUAUUUUGUCUUCUUCACUAAUGAUGUGGUCUUUUGGAUAUGCUAGUUUACUCAACCAGAUUUCACCUUCAUUUAUGUUCUUCACUGAUCCUGUCGAAUACAAUAUAAAUUUCAGCUUUUGAGUGCAUUAGUGACCGACUAUCCAUAUUGAAUGUAUGUUAUCACUUAUUCCAACUUACCCCCAGCUAGAUAUCCAUAUUGAAUGUAUUUUAUCACUUAUUCUAACUUACCCCACGCCAUAUGUAAUAUAUCAUAAGCUUGUUAGAUGAACUUUAGAUCUUCAGGUGAAGGAAGGACACUAAAUUGUGUCUAUUAUAAAUUCACAUAGCAUGCUACAUAAUGAUAUGCAUGCGAUACAUAACUUAACAUGUGAGUUGCCAUCAACAUUAGGAGAUAUAGAAUAAUUUUAACUUGUUAAACAUGGUAGUGUUUGUAAAUCUUGUAGGAGUAAAGCUCUACUCUGGAAUAAUUCAGGGUCAUGUUUAGUUCCAUUCAAAAUGCAGAAUUUAUUGCCCUCAUGAGGGCCUCAUGAGGCUCUUUUGGGUUUUUUUGGCCUCUUGAGGCCAAAAUCCAAAAUGGAGAAUAACUACCUUUUUGCCAAAAAAAAUUGCAUGGUGUUUAGUUCCAUUUUGCAAAAUAAUGAACCAAAACCUAAUUUUUUUUUGGAAUAUGAAGGGAACUAAACACCCACUAUGUUUACUGCAAAGUUUUGUUUUCGCAUAAGUAACUUGAUGCUACAACUAUAUCAAAGCAAGGUACCUGGUGAUAGCAUUUCAGUUAUAUAAUGCCUUAGCUGCUUUUAUUUUGUAUUUAUCGAUGAUGAUAUCUUCAAUGCAUUUGCAAAAGCGAAGGCAGAUGAACUAAAAUCAUGUUGUAUGCCUCACACACAGAUUGAGAUGUUCCCCGCGACCACGAAAUAAAUAGACAAGGAACACAACUGAAUCCUGCAUACAUCUUGAAUGAGAUUGCGCACCUUACGUGAUGGAAGAUCCCGAAGGGAAGAGCACAGAGCUAAAGACGAAAUUCAGUGGCGUGUUGUGAAUUUUCGAGUUCAGUACUGGACCCAUGAAGAAAUAUAUACAAGCAUCAGGUAUUCAAGUCAAGGCAUCCUUCUAUGCGUUGGAGGUUCGGAACAGAAGAAAAAAAAACGUGUUACGUGUUUACAGAUACAGAAUGAUCGAACCAACAUAGACUCAGUCAAUCAGGACCGUUUGGAAACUUUGAACGGUUAUUUAUUCCUUCCGUCGUGACGUUUGGGCAGGAAACACGAGGUCUAAGGUCAAAUUUGCGUGUUCUGUAGGACACGGCGACGUCUGAAAAGAGGCCUUUCCAUCAAGGGGGUGAGUCACGACCAGAUUUUGCAUAAAUCAUUUUUGGAAGAGAUGGUUGAUUAGCAACGAUUGAAGAAAAAAAAAAUGAAAUUGAGUUAGGGCUCGUUCGGUUAGAAUGGAACAGUAUGGGCUGAGCCUUUACAGGUGCCACCGAACCAACAACUUAGCAACAUCGUGUUCGUCCUCUCAAAACAACAGAUUCUUAAAUCACUUUAUUCUUGCCCACUGCGAAUUCCAUUCUUUGCAAGAAUCUGCCAAACACACGCAAGUAGGUAACUUUGAUUAGCUAAAUGGUCCCUCCCGGCAGAUAUAAAAGUCUCCAUGUUAAAGUUAGACCCUGAGACAUUCUUGCUUCAAAGCUAUUCAGAUGCAGG
Molecule: long non-coding RNA, 5577 nt
Filed under: Sorghum bicolor (sorghum)
Lineage: Eukaryota; Viridiplantae; Streptophyta; Magnoliopsida; Poales; Poaceae
Description: long non-coding RNA (SBIC_LNC005979)
Source: RNAcentral